GAUGAAGAACGCAGCGAAAUGCGAUAAGUAGUGUGAAUUGCAGAAUUCAGUGAAUCAUCGAAUCUUUGAACGCACCUUGCGCUACUUGGUAUUCCGAGGAGCAUGCCUGUUUGAGUGUCAUGAAAUUCUCAACCUUUCUGGCUUUUGCUAGUCAGGCUUGGAUUAUGGGAGCUGCUGGCUUUUGAAGUCGGCUCUUCUAAAAUGUAUUAGCAAGAUCAUUGCUGCUCAUCAUUGGUAUGAUAAUUAUCUAUAUCAUUGAGAGUCAGUUUCCUUUAUUGGAAGAUUUUGCUCCUAACGGUCUUUAGCAAGACAACAUUUGACGAUUUUGACCUCAAAUCAGGUAGGACUACCCGCUGAACUUAAGCAUAUCAAUAAGCGGAGGA
RNAcentral lists this unclassified non-coding RNA (383 nucleotides) under soil metagenome. Its description in RNAcentral is "partial contains 5.8S ribosomal RNA, internal transcribed spacer 2, and large subunit ribosomal RNA". The stretch from base 1 to 120 matches the Rfam family "5.8S ribosomal RNA", at positions 35 to 154 of the family's 154-position model. The record is from RNAcentral.